AAGCCCCUCCUGGAGUUACGUCCUCCCACUGUCCAGCCCCUCACUUUCUGAAGGUGGGUUACAGUUUACAACAUGGACUCACACAGAGCACUUUAUUUUCACGGUGGCCCUCUGACUCAGGCCACACCGAUGUCCGUCCUUCCUUCCUUCCUUCCUUCCUUCCUUCCUUCCUUCCUUCCUUCCUUCCUUAUUUCUUUCCUUCUUUCUUUCCUUUCUUUUCUUUCUUUUUCUUCUUUCUUUCUUUCUUUCUUUUCUUUCUUUCUUUCUUUCUUUCGCUCUCAUUUAUUCAUUCUUUCUCUUUUUGUCUUCUUUCUUCCUUCUUUCUCUUUCUUCCUUCCUUCUUUCUCUUCCUUCCUUCUUUCCCUCCUUCCUUCCUUCCUUCCUUAUUUCUUUCCUUCUUUCUUUCAUUACUCCCUUUCUUUCUUUCUCUCUUUCUUUUCUUUCUUUCUUUCUUUCUUUCUUUCUUUCUUUCUUUCUUUCUCUUUCUUUCUUUCUUUCUCUUUCUUUCUUUCUCUAUCUCUCAUUCUUUCUUUUCCUUCCUUCCUUCCUUCCUUCCUUCCUUCCUUCCUUCCUUCCUUUUCCUUCCUUCCUUCCCUCCCUUCCUCCCUUCCUCCCUCUCUUUCUUUCUUUCUUUCUCUUUCUUUUCUUUCUUUCUUUCUUUCUUUCUUUCUUUCUUUCUUCCUUCUUUCUCUUUCUUCCUUCUUUCCCUCCUUCCUUCCUUCCUUAUUUCUUUCCUUCUUUCUUUCAUUACUCCCUUUCUUUCUUUCUCUCUUUCUUUUCUUUUUCUUUCUUUCUCUCUCUAUCUCUCAUUCUUUCUUUUCCUUCCUUCCUUCCUUCCUUCCUUCCUUCCUUCCUUCCUUCCUUCUCCUUCCUUCCUUCCUUCCCUCCCUCCCUCCCUCUCUCUCUCUUUCUUCUUUCUUUCUCUUUCUUUCUUUCUUUCUUUCUUUCUUUCUUUCUUUCUUUCUUUUUCUCUACCUUUCGUUUUUCCUUCCUUCUUUUCUUUCCUUUUCUCUUUCUUCUUUCUUUCUUUCUCCCUUCUUUCUUUUUCUUACUCUUUCUUUCUUUCUUUCUUUCUUUCUUUCUUUCUUUCUUUCUUUCUUUUUUAAUGUUUUAUUUAUUUUUGAGAGAGAGAGAGACAGAGCACAAG
This 1147-nucleotide long non-coding RNA is filed under the name Felis catus (domestic cat). Its description in RNAcentral is "lncRNA (ENSFCAG00000049525.1)". The record is from RNAcentral. Lineage: Eukaryota; Metazoa; Chordata; Mammalia; Carnivora; Felidae.